Molecule: ribosomal RNA, 2911 nt
Filed under: seawater metagenome
Description: bacterial LSU rRNA
Rfam family: Bacterial large subunit ribosomal RNA
Source: RNAcentral
AGGGCGCAUGGUGGAUGCCUUGGCAUCGAGAGGCGAAGAAGGACGUGAUUACCUGCGAUAAGCUAGGGGGAGCUGGACGUAAGCGUCGAUCCCUAGAUUUCCGAAUGGGGCAACCCGGCGGGCAUAAUGGCCCGUCAUCGUGCACUGAAUACAUAGGUGUACGAAGCUAACCCGGAGAAGUGAAACAUCUCAGUACCCGGAGGAAGAGAAAUCAACCGAGACUCCGCUAGUAGUGGCGAGCGAACGCGGAUCAGCCCAAACCAGUGGGGUAACCUGCUGGGGUUGCGGGCUUCUAAUGUGGACCGUGAAAGACAACAGAAUGACUUGGGAAAGUCAGCCAUAGAGGGUGAGAGCCCCGUAUGUGAAGUUGGAAGCGGCCUAAGAAGUUCCAGAGUAGGGCGGGACACGUGGAACCCCGUCUGAAGCAGGGAGGACCACCUUCCAAGGCUAAGUACUCCUCGAUGACCGAUAGUGAACUAGUACCGUGAGGGAAAGGUGAAAAGAACCCCUGUGAGGGGAGUGAAAAGAAUCUGAAACCGUGCGUCUACAAGCAGUUGAAGUACAUCUAAGUACGACAGCGUGCCUUUUGCAUAAUGAGCCUGCGAGUAGAGGUAUGUGGCAAGGUUAAGCCGAUAGGCGCAGCCGAAGCGAAAGCGAGUCUGAAUAGGGCGUCUAGUCACAUGCUUCUGACCCGAAGCCCGGUGAUCUAUCCAUGGGCAGGUUGAAGCGCGGGUAAGACUGCGUGGAGGACCGAACACACCGAAGUUGAAAAUUCGGGUGAUGACCUGUGGAUAGGAGUGAAAGGCUAAUCAAACCGGGGGAUAGCUGGUUCUCGGCGAAAUAUAUUGAGGUAUAGGGUCAGGUGAUUGCCACCGGGGGUAGAGCACUGGAUGAGCUAGGGGGACUACCAUCUUACCGAACUCAACCAAACUCCGAAUACCGGUGAGUACAGCCUGGCACUCAGGCUAUGGGAGCUAAGUUUCAUGGCCAAGAGGGAAAGAACCCAGAUCGUCAGCUAAGGCCCCAAAAUCUCUGCUAAGUGGCAAAGGAUGUGGGAGCACACAGACAGCCAGGAGGUUGGCUUAGAAGCAGCCAUCCUUUAAAGAAAGCGUAACAGCUCACUGGUCGAGUGAACCUGCGCCGAAAAUUUAACGGGUCUCAAGCAGAGUGCCGAAGCUACGGGUGUGCAUUUAUGUACGCGGUAGCCGAGUAUUGUGUUCGCGGUGAAGCCAUACGGGAACGGGUGGUGGAGCGUACACAAGCGCUAAUGUAGGCGUGAGUAGCGAUAAACAAGGUGAAAAACCUUGUCGCCGUAAACCCAAGGGUUCCUGGGUUAAGAUAAUCUGCCUAGGGUUAGUCGGCUCCUAAGGCGAGGCCGAAAGGCGUAGUCGAUGGAAAGCAGGCGAAUAUUCCUGCACCAGCACGGACGUUUUCUCAAGGAGGGACGGAGGAGGGUAGCUGAGCCGGUCAUUGGAUUCCGGUUUAAGCUUGUAGGCAGGGACUGUAGGAGGCAAUGGCCACAAACGCAGUCCUAAUGCCGAGAGGUGAUGAGGAGAGUCUUCGGACUCAAAACUCAGUGAUCCCAUGCUUCCAGGAAAAGCUUCGUGAGAGCCAAGCGCUGUGCUGACCGUACCGUAAACCGACUCAGGUGGGUGGGAAGAGAAUUCCAAGGCGCUUGGGAGAACUCUGGCUAAGGAACUCGGCAAAUUGAUACCGUAACUUCGGGAGAAGGUAUGCCCCUGCUGGUGAUGAGCUUGCGCUCUGAGCUGGGGGGGGUUGCAGAGAAUCGGGGGUAGCGACUGUUUACCAAAAACACAGGACUCUGCUAAGUCGCAAGACGACGUAUAGGGUCUGACGCCUGCCCGGUGCCGGAAGGUUAAUGGGAGUUGUUAGGGUAACCAAAGCAACGAACUGAAGCCCCGGUAAACGGCGGCCGUAACUAUAACGGUCCUAAGGUAGCGAAAUUCCUUGGCGGGUAAGUUCCGUCCUGCACGAAUGGCGUAACGACUUCCCCACUGUCUCGGCCAGAGACCCAGCGAAAUCGACUUUGGGGUGAAGAUGCCCCAUACCCGCGGAAAGACGGAAAGACCCCGUGAACCUUUACUGCAGCUUGACACUGCAUUUCGGGCUUGUCUGUGUAGGAUAGGUGGGAGACGUUGAAACAGGGCCGCUAGGUUCUGUGGAGUCACCCUUGAAAUACCACCCUGAUGAGUCUGGAAUCCUAACCGUGACCCGUAAGCCGGGUUCGGGACACUGUCUGGUGGGUAGUUUGACUGGGGCGGUCACCUCCGAAAGAGUAACGGAGGCGCGCAAAGGUUCCCUCAGGCUGAUUGGAAACCAGCCGAAGAGUGUAAAAGCAUAAGGGAGCUUGACUGCAAGUCAUACAAGACGAGCAGGUACGAAAGUAGGCUUUAGUGAUCCGGUGGUUCUGAGUGGAAGGGCCAUCGCUCAACGGAUAAAAGGUACUCCGGGGAUAACAGGCUAAUCUCCCCCAAGAGUUCACAUCGACGGGGAGGUUUGGCACCUCGAUGUCGGCUCAUCGCAUCCUGGGGCUGUAGUCGGUCCCAAGGGUUUGGCUGUUCGCCAAUUAAAGCGGUACGCGAGCUGGGUUCAGAACGUCGUGAGACAGUUCGGUCCCUAUCUUCCGUGGGCGUAGGAACCUUGAGGAGAGCUGCCCCUAGUACGAGAGGACCGGGGUGGACGGACCCCUGAUGUUUCGGUUGUAACGCCAGUUGCAUUGCCGAGUAGUUAAGUCCGGAACGGAUAACCGCUGAAAGCAUCUAAGCGGGAAGCCAACUCCAAGAUGAGGGUUCCCAUGAGGACCGUUGUAGACCACAACGUUGAUAGGGUGGAUGUGGAAGGGCGGCAACGUCCGGAGCUAACCACUACUAAUAGUCCGAUCGGCUUGGCC